AGAGUUUGAUCCUGGCUCAGGAUGAACGCUAGCUACAGGCUUAACACAUGCAAGUCGAGGGGCAUCAGGAAGAAAGCUUGCUUUCUUUGCUGGCGACCGGCGCACGGGUGAGUAACACGUAUCCAACCUGCCCUUUACUCGGGGAUAGCCUUUCGAAAGAAAGAUUAAUACCCGAUAGCAUAAUGAUUCCGCAUGGUUUCAUUAUUAAAGGAUUCCGGUAAAGGAUGGGGAUGCGUUCCAUUAGGUUGUUGGUGAGGUAACGGCCCACCAAGCCUUCGAUGGAUAGGGGUUCUGAGAGGAAGGUCCCCCACAUUGGAACUGAGACACGGUCCAAACUCCUACGGGAGGCAGCAGUGAGGAAUAUUGGUCAAUGGGCGCUAGCCUGAACCAGCCAAGUAGCGUGAAGGAUGAAGGCUCUAUGGGUCGUAAACUUCUUUUAUAUAAGAAUAAAGUGCAGUAUGUAUACUGUUUUGUAUGUAUUAUAUGAAUAAGGAUCGGCUAACUCCGUGCCAGCAGCCGCGGUAAUACGGAGGAUCCGAGCGUUAUCCGGAUUUAUUGGGUUUAAAGGGAGCGUAGGUGGACUGGUAAGUCAGUUGUGAAAGUUUGCGGCUCAACCGUAAAAUUGCAGUUGAUACUGUCAGUCUUGAGUACAGUAGAGGUGGGCGGAAUUCGUGGGGUAGCGGUGAAAUGCUUAGAUAUCACGAAGAACUCCGAUUGCGAAGGCAGCUCACUGGACUGCAACUGACACUGAUGCUCGAAAGUGUGGGUAUCAAACAGGAUUAGAUACCCUGGUAGUCCACACAGUAAACGAUGAAUACUCGCUGUUUGCGAUAUACAGUAAGCGGCCAAGCGAAAGCAUUAAGUAUUCCACCUGGGGAGUACGCCGGCAACGGUGAAACUCAAAGGAAUUGACGGGGGCCCGCACAAGCGGAGGAACAUGUGGUUUAAUUCGAUGAUACGCGAGGAACCUUACCCGGGCUUAAAUUGCAGUGGAAUGAUGUGGAAACAUGUCAGUGAGCAAUCACCGCUGUGAAGGUGCUGCAUGGUUGUCGUCAGCUCGUGCCGUGAGGUGUCGGCUUAAGUGCCAUAACGAGCGCAACCCUUAUCUUCAGUUACUAACAGGUCAUGCUGAGGACUCUGGAGAGACUGCCGUCGUAAGAUGUGAGGAAGGUGGGGAUGACGUCAAAUCAGCA
This 1193-nucleotide ribosomal RNA is filed under the name Bacteroides fragilis str. 2-F-2 #4. RNAcentral's name for it is "bacterial SSU rRNA". It matches the Rfam family "Bacterial small subunit ribosomal RNA", at positions 8 to 1195 of the family's 1533-position model. Lineage: Bacteria; Pseudomonadati; Bacteroidota; Bacteroidia; Bacteroidales; Bacteroidaceae. The record is from RNAcentral.